AUGCAACUCCAAAAUUUACUUCUCGAUGCAAUUGACAGUCUACUGCCUAUUCUGAGCCUAAAAAAUGUAUAGGAAGAAGGGGUGAGAUUAUAAAAUCCCAAUGAGUAGACAGACAUCAUCAAAAUAAUCUAAAGCCGAGUAAUAUGAGAUAAUUAAAAUAAUUCAUCCCAACCCAUAUAAAUAAUUAGAUUUUAUCCAAUUACUCAACAUGGCUUAUGCACUUUUCAAAAACUUGGCCUUUGCCAAAAAUCCAUUCUUGGGGAUAGCCCGCGAAGGCAUCUUACCGAGACCGCCAAGGCUGUUUAUUGUCACACACACAAACACAUUUCACCUCUGACAACACAGCCGUUCCUCGGCGUUGGCUAAGUUCCAGUUUCACGUGGUGGCUAGCGUGAAGUGUACUCAAAUCCUACCUCGGGAGUUAUCCUACGCGCCUCUCCAAUCGAGGUAAGCUCAAUAAUUGGGAACCGUGCCCCUCUAAUUAGGCUGGCCCACGAAACCCCCGUCACUGCAGUGCCCACUUUAACUAUCCACCAACCAAUAAAAUCACAAUAGUAUGACAUGGCUCACUUAACACAUUCAAGGCAAAUCAAAGCAGUUCACAUGUUCUUUAAAUCAUAAAAAUAAUCAGUC
This 633-nucleotide long non-coding RNA is filed under the name Theobroma cacao (cacao). Its description in RNAcentral is "long non-coding RNA (TCAC_LNC002634)". Lineage: Eukaryota; Viridiplantae; Streptophyta; Magnoliopsida; Malvales; Malvaceae. The record is from RNAcentral.